RNAcentral lists this ribosomal RNA (221 nucleotides) under uncultured bacterium. Its description in RNAcentral is "partial 16S ribosomal RNA". It matches the Rfam family "Bacterial small subunit ribosomal RNA", at positions 15 to 225 of the family's 1533-position model. The record is from RNAcentral.
GAUCAUGGCUCAGGAUGAACGCUAGCUACAGGCUUAACACAUGCAAGUCGAGGGGCAGCAUGGUCUUAGCUUGCUAAGACUGAUGGCGACCGGCGCACGGGCGAGUAACACGUAUCCAACCUGCCGUCUACUCUUGGACAGCCUUCUGAAAGGAAGAUUAAAUACAAGAUGGCAUCAUGAGUCCGCAUGUUCACAUGAUUAAAGGUAUUCCGGGUAGACGA